GUACACGCUGUGACUAGCAUAUCAAUAAGCGGAGGAAAAGAAACUAACAAGGAUUCCCCUAGUAACGGCGAGUGAAGCGGGAAGAGCUCAAAUUUGAAAUCUUAAAGGGUUUCCCUUUACGAAUUGUAGUUUAAAGAAGUGUUUUCUGUUGAGGUUUUGGUAAAAGUUCUUUGGAAUAGGACAUCAUAGAGGGUGAGAAUCCCGUAUUUGACCUUUACUUUCAACUUUGUGAUACACUUUCAAAGAGUCGGAUUGUUUGGGAAUGCAGUCCAAAAUGGGUGGUAAAUUUCAUCUAAAGCUAAAUAUUGGCGAGAGACCGAUAGCGAACAAGUACCGUGAGGGAAAGAUGAAAAGAACUUUGAAAAGAGAGUUAAACAGUACGUGAAAUUGUCAAAAGGGAAGCGUUUGACACCAGUGUUGUUUUUCUGAGAAAUCAAUUAAAGAACUGUUUAUGCUAAGCUGUUUAGACUUUAUCAGCUAUCUGUUUAGUUUUGAGCUUUUCUUUAAUGCACUUUUCAGUUAACAAGUCAACAUCAAUUUCUUUUGCUGUAAAAAAGCUUGAGGAAGGUGGCUUGAGAUUCGUCUUAAGUGUUUAUAGCCUCUUGCCUAUGCAGUCGGAGAGAUUGAGGUCUGCAGCGUAGAUCCUUCGGGGCUAAAUGCAUUUGUGCUAAGUUAUAGCAUUUUAUAGACAACUUGUUGACUAUGAUUUGUCUUGUAGCUUACUCGCUUAUGUUAUUUUACCUACGCUUAGGAUGUUGAAGAUGUAGCACAUCAU
RNAcentral lists this ribosomal RNA (775 nucleotides) under uncultured Neocallimastigales. RNAcentral describes it as "partial large subunit ribosomal RNA". It matches the Rfam family "Eukaryotic large subunit ribosomal RNA", at positions 22 to 635 of the family's 3401-position model. The record is from RNAcentral. Lineage: Eukaryota; Fungi; Neocallimastigomycota; Neocallimastigomycetes; Neocallimastigales.